UGCCUCAGUAACGGCGAGUGAAGCGGCAAAAGCUCAAAUUUGAAAUCUAGCACCUUCGGUGUUCGAGUUGUAAUUUGAAGAUGGUAACCUUGGGUUUGGCUCUUGUCUAUGUUCCUUGGAACAGGACGUCAUAGAGGGUGAGAAUCCCGUCUGAUGAGAUGCCCAUUCCUAUGUAAGGUGCUAUCGAAGAGUCGAGUUGUUUGGGAAUGCAGCUCUAAGUGGGUGGUAAAUUCCAUCUAAAGCUAAAUAUUGGCGAGAGACCGAUAGCGAACAAGUACAGUGAUGGAAAGAUGAAAAGAACUUUGAAAAGAGAGUGAAAAAGUACGUGAAAUUGUUGAAAGGGAAGGGCAUUAGAUCAGACUUGGUGUUUUACGAUUAUCUUCUCUUCUUGAGUUGUGCACUCGUAUUUCACUGGGCCAGCAUCGAUUCGGAUGGCAAGAUAAUAGCAGUUGAAUGUGGCUUCACUUCGGUGGAGUGUUAUAGCUUCUGUUGAUAUUGCCUGUCUGGAUCGAGGGCUGCGUCUUUUGACUAGGAUGCUGGCGUAAUGAUCUAAUGCCGCC
RNAcentral lists this ribosomal RNA (560 nucleotides) under Wickerhamomyces myanmarensis. RNAcentral's name for it is "eukaryotic LSU rRNA". It matches the Rfam family "Eukaryotic large subunit ribosomal RNA", at positions 76 to 649 of the family's 3401-position model. Lineage: Eukaryota; Fungi; Ascomycota; Saccharomycetes; Phaffomycetales; Wickerhamomycetaceae. The record is from RNAcentral.